UUCUGUAGGCUUCGCGGAGGGCGGGAGUGAUGCUUCGGCCGCUCCCGGAAUGGGGCAGGUACGAGGGGACAGACGGGUAGGCUGCUGCGUGGCAACAACCAGUGCUGUUGGGUAGAGGAAAGGAUGCUCCUGGAGUGCAGGGAGAACGGGCACCCUCUGAAGUUCAUUCACAACACGGAGAGAACCAGAGUGCAGACUUCGUGACUUAGGCAGCCUGGAAACCACCAUUCUACUUUCUGUCUGUAUGAAUUUGAUUAUUCUACGAACAAUGAAGUUCGCGAGUUCAUCCAAGAAAAAGUGCUCCAUACCUCAUUGCUGAAUAUCACUAUGUAUAUUGCACCCCCCUUGGGAAGUACUCCCCUUGGGAAGCUGUGCGCCGACCGAUGC
Rhinolophus ferrumequinum (greater horseshoe bat) is the source of this 387-nucleotide long non-coding RNA. RefSeq lists it as uncharacterized. The record is from RefSeq and is a predicted model, not a curated record. Lineage: Eukaryota; Metazoa; Chordata; Mammalia; Chiroptera; Rhinolophidae. The transcript is spliced from 3 exons.